Molecule: non-coding RNA, 148 nt
Filed under: Gorilla gorilla gorilla (western lowland gorilla)
Lineage: Eukaryota; Metazoa; Chordata; Mammalia; Primates; Hominidae
Source: Rfam by way of RNAcentral
GCCGGGUGUGGUGGUGGGCGCCUGUAAUCCCAGCUACUUGGGAGGCUGAGGCAGGAGAAUCACUUGAACCUGGGAGGCGGAGGUUGCAGUGAGCUAAGAUUGCACCACUGUACUCCAGCCUGGGUGACAGAGUGAGACCUUGUCUCAA